AUAAAACACAAAAAUACACAUGCCCUACAUAUUACAUAUUACAUAUUACAUGCCAUUCAAGCAUUCUAACUGUUGAUCAUUUAGGAUGUGUAGUGGAAGACAUUUCAAAGAGAAUCAGAGCUUACACGCAAAGGACUUAUAAAAUAAUUAAACAUGUGACAGACAUAUAGUUUAAGCUUCUAAGGGGCGGGUUUUAGACUGACUUUGGGGUGGCAUUUUUGUUGGACCUGGCAACCCUGCACACAAACAGAAGUUACGUCCAACCAUUCAUCACACACACCACUCAAACUCAAACGCCGCGGGAAAAAGUCGCAUGCUGUCACUCUCCGCCGAUUAUUCGAUAUAAAAUCACACGCUGCGAUGUUUAAUCACCGAGACUGUGAUGUUAAGCUGUCUGUGGAGGAAACCUGUCCACACCCAAGUGCUGCACAGCGCCGGACAGGUGAAGAUGAGGACCUGCUCAAUCCUGACUUUACCCACACAACCCGCUGUGGAUUCCUCAAAUGUGUAGUAUAGGCAGACUGACUCUGAUGAACUGGAUGUGGACUGGAGGUAGACUGGAGAGAACUGUCUGGGAGAGUUUGUUUUGUCUGUCUGCUUUUAUUUGUGGGCGUUUUCACACUUGCACUUUUAGCCUGGUUUAUAGUAGUAUCUUUCUUGGUCUUUUUUUAUCAUGAUCUUCCUCCUCAUGAUGUAAAGCAUGGUGCUGUUGGAUUUUGACACAGAGAAAAACCCAAGUUUACAACCUAUUUGAUUUGAGCCAAAGCAAACCAACUAUAGGUGUGAAAAUGCCCAAUGUCUUAAAAUAAUUCUUAACCUGUGUGUGUUUUUAUGUUCAGUUUUUUAGCACACUUCUUCCAUUGCAUUUAGGCAGAGUAUCAUUAUGUUGGCAAUAAUGGUUUGUGAUCAAGCUUAGAUAGGGCAUAAAAAAACAGCCUGACUCUACCCGAACCCAUGCAUGCUCUGUCUGAGCUCGACCUAUAAACUGACGUUACGAGCCCGAUUUAAACCAGUAGAGCUUCUUCACUCCAAUUCCAAGUUGUAGGUGCCUGUACUGUACUGUAUUUCUGCCCCCAAAACUUUCCAUUGUCUUGCCCGGUGGCUGCAUUCACUCCCCUUUCUUUAGUUAAAAAAAAAAUAGGUGUGCAGCCUGGUGAUUUGCAGAUAUGCGUAGCUUUUAGUUUUAGUUGUGCGGAAGGCUGCGACUGGGGACAUGUGGAGGAGGUCGCAUGUGAGCAUUGUGCAGGCCAGUCCUGCAGGAUUAUAAAAUUUACAACUUUCACAGUUCGAUUUGUUACAUUGCUAAACUGUGAUUAUCACACCAUAGCUUUAUAUAAAAUUUAAAAAUAGCAUUAAAAAGGCCCGACCCGGCCUGACUGCAGGUUGGGAAUCGGGUCAGGCUCUGGCUCAGGCAGACAACCUAAACUCUAGUUCAGGAUCAUAAUUUGACUCACUAUAGUCACAUUAGGAAGCUGGAUUAAAAUUUUCUAUAAACUAUAUACACUGUAUUGCCAAUAGUAUCCACUUGAUUGCAUUGUGUUAGGUGAUGGGUUUUUAAUGGCCGAUUAGCUCCAUUCAAAUCUUACAUUUCAUAAAGCUCUACACUCUACUGUUCUUGAUCUAGCCUGAAGCUGCAUGAAGUUUGGAGGUGUGUAGUAAUGUAGUGACUUUGCAGAA
Molecule: long non-coding RNA, 1677 nt
Filed under: Astyanax mexicanus (Mexican tetra)
Lineage: Eukaryota; Metazoa; Chordata; Actinopteri; Characiformes; Acestrorhamphidae
Description: lncRNA (ENSAMXG00005001996.1)
Source: RNAcentral